UUACAAGUCUGAACCACACGUAGACUAUCAUAGCAAGAUGGCUACAGAAGUUCUGGAAAUAUACCAGACGUGGCAAUGCUGCAGAGGAAGGAGGGAGAAUAUGCCUUUCUGCAGAUCUUUCUUGGAGGAGAGAUAAGGAGUUCAUAUGCUGGAAUGAUAGUGACACAGGAGUUUAACACUCCUACAGUAUCCAGAGCCUGGAUCCCUGAGUCAUCAGAUGGAGAAGAACUACUCAGGAGAGUCAUCCAACCUUCAUAGACAGUGGCAUGAGUGGGAAUUAAA
RNAcentral lists this long non-coding RNA (282 nucleotides) under Homo sapiens (human). Its description in RNAcentral is "non-protein coding lnc-CCDC125-6:6". The record is from RNAcentral. Lineage: Eukaryota; Metazoa; Chordata; Mammalia; Primates; Hominidae.